CUGGCUGACUGAUUAUUCCCUUCAUUUAAAGCCCGCCCACCGACAUAGAAAUAUAGCCUCGACUUUCCCUGUAUAUUACAUUUUUUUACCCGGGGUUUGACAGACACUUCCAGCAACCAAAGAGCGCUGAUCUGUGAGGUAGUGAGGUAGCAGCAGCUGAGAUGAGAGCGCCAGAGCAGGAUUGCGCUCCAGACGCUCUCCAAACCAAGGACCCGGAGUGUGAGUGAACAUAAGCAGACAAUCCACCCUGCCCAUGCAAACCUUCUACUUUGUAACUUGUCGAUCACACAGUUCCAACGUUUGGGGAACUCUCAGAAACCAUACACAAGGUAUCUCUAACCCUUUUGCAGUACAUUAUUAUUACUGCUAUCAAAUGUAACAAAUCACAUAAAAUCACAAUAUGAUUGUUUUUGCAAGCACGUUCGGCCUACAUUUUUCUAUUUAAUUUAUCUUCCUGUUCAAUUCAGUAGCUAUUUAAUCGGACCAGUUGUUAUGCAUUAUUUAGCAGUUGUUGAGGAUAAACAAGGGGGUAUGUUUCUCCAAGUGCACACCCGUGGAAGCCAGGCAUUAUGGACUAGAGUGGAACAGGGUUGGAGGGCGUUUUUAAGUAGUAUAGAGCGGUUUUCAAGGAUACACGUUAGAAUGAACAACGACUGGGUACCAUACCACAAAGGUGAAACACUGCGAGGGACGUUUGUGCCGGUGAUCGGGUUUCUCCUCUGGCCCAUCAGCUGAAUAGGUGGGGCUUGAUCAAUGGCAGGAAACUGAAGGAUCAAAUGUCAUAAAAUGGUGCCAGGCUGCGACAUGAAGGCAGGGGCCAUGAAACCGUACCCUCAUCAUCAGACUGUACAGUAGAGAGACAGAGUCACACUCCUGGUGUAAGCAGGGCAUAAAAACACUGCUGCAUGAUAAGGAGCUGCACAGGGACUUUGAACAUUUUAUUAGUAUCUAUAAAAGAGGCACAGGACGAAGGACACAGUGUCUAUAAAGCACUAAUGGAGGAUCAAUUAAGAUGGUCAAGCUGCAGAAAGAGACUUUUACAGUGUAGGGUUUUAACACUAACCUUGUCCUUUAACACUAACGCUGAAACCACAAGGCUGGGAAAUUAAGCCUAGUUGUAAUUCCAGUGCAUCCCCAAUAUUUAAUGAUUGGGAACAGUAAAAAAGUUUGUUUGUUUGUAUGAGAAUAUAAAAGUGAGCGGUGGAGAAUUCCUACCUGCUUUAGUACAGAAUAAAAAUUACAUAAUAUGCUGCUUUUUUACAAACCCACACCCACACACACACACACACACACACACACACACACACACACACACACACACACACACACACAGAGUAUUGGGUUUCCAGAUUUUAUGGGGACUUUCCAUAAUUAUUUUGAUACUGUAUAAACUGUAUAUUCUGUCCCCUACCCCUACACACAACCCUAACAGAAAACUUUGCAUUUUUACAUUUUUCAAAAAAAAUCACUUAGUGUGAGUUAUAAGCUGUUUUCCUUUUGUGGAGCAAAAAUGUCCCCACAAGGACAAGGAUUUUGGAUAUUUACAUCUUUUUGGGGACAUUUUACCUGAACCAAACACACACACACACACACACACACGCACGCAACACACAGUUUAGAUUUGAACAUUUGCAUUUUAUUUAAUAAUAAAAAUUAUUUAACCUAAAUGUUAUUUCAUUUCCAUUUUCAUUAUUCUGAAAUACCAUUUAAACACUUUAAAUAUUGUAUCAGAGAAAAAUUGGACAAAAAAAAAAAUUAAAUAAACAAAUUAAAAUAAAUCAAUGGCCUGUUUCUACAUUUUCUGUCAGAGCCGCAGUAGGCUACAUUGCUAAAUAAACAUUCAUGUUUUCACUGAAAGGUUCAAUGCUUAUAUCACUCUUCUGUGGUCACUGAACAGUACCGUUCCCUUCACAUAUAAGAUCUGUAUUUUUCAGCCUCUAUUUGAGCAUAUGUAUAUGUUCACUUUGACUUUAAAUAAUGAUUUAAUUAUUUAAUGUGUACUUGAGUUUCUCUAAAGGCAGAUAUCAUAACCUGCUUUUAUUUUCUAAAUACACACUUCUGGUCAAAACUAAUAAGUCCCGAUUAAUUCCUGUAUCUUCCAUAACUUUCCUCUCUCUCUCUGUUUCUGUCUGUCAGGACAUAGCAUGGCAAAUUGAAUUACAUUUUGAACACACGACUGGCCAUCUAUCAAAAGCAAGUCAAAAAUCUUCCCUGUGCAUGUUUAUGAAAGACAUUUCUAAACUCUUCCUGACCUGAAAUGUUUAUAUCCAGAGUUUACGUUGUGAACAUUUUAAAUGUCAUCAAAACCACCUUGCUCCAGGGGUAUAAAUUGAUUCCAUUUGUUGCCUGCCCAAGCAACUGGCCUCGGCCGCAGGAGCCAUACGAGGGGGAAACCGAGAAGCUGGAGAAAUCAGUUCUGAGAGGAGACACCGUGGACUUUCAGAGGGCUUUGUAAUGAGUGAAAAUCAGGGAUGGGGUUCAGUGGGAAAUCGCAUACCAUGCCUCAAUCAGCAACAUGUCCCAACAACCAGGGAGGCAUGUGUCAAUCAAACAGAUGUGGGUUUGUGGGGAACCAGUGAAUCAGUUAUAAGGCUUUUAAGCCAUCAUUAAAGCAAAACUAAGAGAUGCUCUGCUGCACUAAUGUUAUACAUGUUAAUACCAUACUGUCAAUAGUAUCAUAAGACCAGGGGCAUCAGUCACUAUUUAUUUAUUUUUUUUGUUUGUUUGUUUGUUGGAUGGGACACCAAUGGCAGUUUUGGCUCACUUAAUGCAUUAGACAAAAUUAUGAUGGGUAAGGGGAGAAAAGUCUACAUAGAAUUUCCAUGGUGUGCAAGAAUAGUCAGAUAUAAUUUUUGAUAAGUGUGUUCGUGUGUGUGUGUGUGUGUGUGUGUGUGUGUGUGUGUGUGUGUGUGUGUGUGUAUACAGGUUUGGCUAUUGUGAGGGCCAAAUGUCUUCACUUAAAAUAUUAAAGUAAAAUAUUAUGACAACCGACUAUUGAGGACAUUUUAAUGGUCCUCACUAGUUAAAAAGGUUUAAGUCAGCCAAAACAUGUUUUUAUUUAAAUCUAGUGUUUUGCACGUUUCUGUUAUGGGAAGGUGUUAGGUUAGGUGAUAGAAAAUAUCAUUAACCUGAUAUUAAAUCAAUGAAAGUCAAUGCAAUGUCUUUACUAAUAUAGUGAAAGUGUGUGUGUGUGUGUGUGUGUGUGU
Molecule: long non-coding RNA, 3206 nt
Organism: Megalobrama amblycephala (Wuchang bream)
Lineage: Eukaryota; Metazoa; Chordata; Actinopteri; Cypriniformes; Xenocyprididae
Exons: 3
Source: RefSeq, a predicted model, not a curated record